This 448-nucleotide ribosomal RNA is filed under the name Rhizobium sp. RNAcentral describes it as "bacterial SSU rRNA". It matches the Rfam family "Bacterial small subunit ribosomal RNA", at positions 1 to 499 of the family's 1533-position model. Lineage: Bacteria; Pseudomonadati; Pseudomonadota; Alphaproteobacteria; Hyphomicrobiales; Rhizobiaceae. The record is from RNAcentral.
UUGAGUUUGAUCCUGGCUCAGAACGAACGCUGGCGGCAGGCUUAACACAUGCAAGUCGAGCGCCCCGCAAGGGGAGCGGCAGACGGGUGAGUAACGCGUGGGAAUCUACCUUUUGCUACGGAAUAACGCAGGGAAACUUGUGCUAAUACCGUAUGUGUCCUUCGGGAGAAAGAUUUAUCGGCAAGAGAUGAGCCCGCGUUGGAUUAGCUAGUUGGUGGGGUAAAGGCCUACCAAGGCGACGAUCCAUAGCUGGUCUGAGAGGAUGAUCAGCCCACAUUGGGACUGAGACACGGCCCAAACUCCUACGGGAGGCAGCAGUGGGGAAUAUUGGACAAUGGGCGCAAGCCUGAUCCAGCCAUGCCGCGUGAGUGAUGAAGGCCCUAGGGUUGUAAAGCUCUUUCACCGGAGAAGAUAAUGGNGGUUCCGGAGAAAAGCAGGCCCNCAANAA